Molecule: ribosomal RNA, 497 nt
Filed under: uncultured bacterium
Lineage: Bacteria
Description: partial 16S ribosomal RNA
Rfam family: Bacterial small subunit ribosomal RNA
Source: RNAcentral
GAUGAACGCUGGCGGCGUGCCUAAUACAUGCAAGUCGAGCGAACGGACGAGAAGCUUGCUUCUCUGAUGUUAGCGGCGGACGGGUGAGUAACACGUGGAUAACCUACCUAUAAAACUGGGAUAACUUCGGGAAACCGGAGCUAAUACCGGAUGAUAUUUUGAACCGCAUGGUUCAAAAGUGAAAGACGGUCUUGCUGUCACUUAUAGAUGGAUCCGCGCUGCAUUAGCUAGUUGGUAAGGUAACGGCUUACCAAGGCAACGAUGCAUAGCCGACCUGAGAGGGUGAUCGCCCACACUGGAUCUGAGACCCGGUCCAGACUCCUACGGGAGGCAGCAGUAGGGAAUCUUCCGCAAUGGGCGAAAGCCUGACGGAGCAACGCCGCGUGAGUGAUGAAGGUCUUCGGAUCGUAAAACUCUGUUAUUAGGGAAGAACAUAUGUGUAAGUAACUGUGCACAUCUUGACGGUACCUAAUCAGAAAGCCACGGCUAACUACGUG